This is a long non-coding RNA of Vombatus ursinus (common wombat), 1269 nucleotides long. RefSeq lists it as uncharacterized. The transcript is spliced from 4 exons. NCBI's taxonomy places the organism in Eukaryota, Metazoa, Chordata, Mammalia, Diprotodontia, Vombatidae. The record is from RefSeq and is a predicted model, not a curated record.
UAAAAAUAAACAGAAGAGAGCAGAAGUUCAGAAGGAGCCAAAGACAAGCAGAGCAGUUGAAGCUACCUGGUGAAAUCUGAAUUACGCCAAAAAACCUGCCAAACAAUGACAUCUUAGUGGCUUCAUGUGCGCCCACUCAGCUGUCGGGGUUUCACAUCCUCUGUCAACCUCAGACCUGCAGCCCCGACAGAAUAGCCUGCCUCCUGCCAGGGGCCUCAAAAGUCAGGUCCCAUCCUGUGGCUCGAGAAUUAGCAAGAGGCCAGGGCCGGAAGGACACCGCUGAGUUCAACCGACCCCUCCGUUUGGUAGCUGAGGAGAGGCAAGUCACAGACCGUUUAAGUGACUUGUCCUGAGUCACACAGCUAGUUAGUGUCAGAGGAUCAACAUGCCCAGUUCCUUCAUAUUGUGGUGAAGGAGACAAUCCUAGUCACAAAUUUAUUAUUUAUUUAUUAGCAAACCAGGCGUAAUAAACCCUGUUUGCUCGUAUAGUUUGGAUUGUCUCCCUAGGUUAUUAUUAAUUAAUCACCGCAGUUUUUGAAGAGCUGAGCUAGGUCAAGCCAGGACUCUGACCCCCAGGAAAAGAGCCUUUCAGAAAAAAUCUCCGGUUAAUCUUUUACUGUGGGACUUUCUCACUGAAGACAGAAGGUUGGACUCCUGCUUUGGAUCCUGAUUUCUUUCAAGCUCAGAUGAGAAAACUGAGGCACAGAGGCUGAGACUUGCCCAGGGUCACACACACAGUGCUGCAUGUGCAUGGAUGAGGAGGAAUUCACCUUGUCUGCUUUCCUGCCCCCUCCCCAUCCUUGGUUAUUUAGAAGAGGAGGAGGAGGAGGAGGAGGAGGAGGGAAGCUCAUCAUGGAAGGCAAGCCAAGCCAUCAGGAGAAUGCUACAUAGGAAAGCUCAGGACCCAUACAGGCAUGUGACUGCAUUACCCCUUGUAAGGGUAAUAGUGGCAAUCUCCCAAUGCUUUCCCAGAAAGUGGAGCACUCCAUAUGGUGCUGAGUUCUAGAUUCACUUGGAUGUAUAUGAAAAUCGCUUAUCCCCACUGAGCCUCAAUGUUCUUACCAAUAAAAUGGCGACAGUGAUACUCACAUUAGACUGUGAACUCCUUGAGAGCAGGGAUUGUUUUUGGCCUUUCUUUGUGUCCCCAGUGCUUGGCAUAAUCGCUUAUCCCCACUGAGCCUCAGUGUUCUUACCAAUAAAAUGGCGACAGUGAUACUCACAUUAGACUGUGAACUCCUUGAGAGCAGGGAUUGUUUUUUGCCUUUCUUU